RNAcentral lists this unclassified non-coding RNA (766 nucleotides) under Leishmania donovani. Its description in RNAcentral is "gene:unknown". The record is from RNAcentral. Lineage: Eukaryota; Euglenozoa; Kinetoplastea; Trypanosomatida; Trypanosomatidae.
GAGCGUGAGCACUGUCGCGAAAUCCACCUCAUCGCCCCCGGUGCACGAGGCUCCGGGGACGACCCCCUGCGCUGCAGGCUGCCACGCACAGCCUUCCCUCCUUUCCAACCGACUCUCGCAUCUUUGAAUUUCACGUGUCGUUGGCACCACUCUCUCGCCCGCUUAUUUGUCCGGUCUCUUCUCGCCCUAGCAGCGGUUGCGCUUCUCCAGUGCGCGUGCAUGCGGCGGCAUUUGUUUCGGGACGUCUUUGAAUGCGCGCUUUCUGAUCCCUGUGAACCGUCGCCCUUGUCACUCCUCCGUUUCCAUCGGCACACAUGAUCACGCACGCACGAGUUGAGCAUCCGCGAAUACCGGCGACGCCGCAUGAGGAACAGAGCUGCUCACAGCGAGGGCGACGGCGUAUCUGGUUUAGCUGCUUGCAUGAAGUUCUGUUUCUCUCUCUCACCAGAGGUUGCUCUCCACCCUUUCGCUCCCCCCCUUACGCUCUCCGCUCGGGCACCGUGGCGGGCGCGGCCUUCGUGUCUGCAAGACUGCCGAACAUGUGUGGGAUGCCAACCAUACCACCUCACCGUGCCGUCCAAUCUUUCAGAGCAUUCACCUACCCCCCUCCCCCCCCACCCACUCUACCUCACGCCCGUCCCCGCCUCCUCUUCCCGCCACUGACUUCGCUCCUCUCCGUCUCACUUUCUGGUCUUCUAUCCCACCCCCGACGCUGAGCCAUGAUUGCUUGCACGUCGUUUUUCUCCACGUCUCAUUAACAUGGCAG